AGUUAAUGAGCUUGAUUUAAGCAAUUGUUUUGAAAACAUUUGAUAGAAACUAAAAUUUUCUAUUAACUU
This 69-nucleotide transfer RNA is filed under the name Phlebotomus ariasi. Its description in RNAcentral is "tRNA-Ser". The record is from RNAcentral. Lineage: Eukaryota; Metazoa; Arthropoda; Insecta; Diptera; Psychodidae.